GAUGAACGCUGGCGGCGUGCUUAACACAUGCAAGUCGAACGGAAAGGCUCCUGCUUGCAGGGGUACUCGAGUGGCGAACGGGUGAGUAACACGUGGGUGAUCUGCCCUGCACUUCGGGAUAAGCCUGGGAACUGGGUCUAAUACCGGAUAGGACGAUGGUUUGGCUGCCAUUGUGGAAGGUUUUUCGGUGUGGGAUGAGCUCGCGGCCUAUCAGCUUGUUGGUGGGGUAAUGGCCUACCAAGGCGUCGACGGGUAGCCGGCCUGAGAGGGUGUACGGCCACAUUGGGACUGAGAUACGGCCCAGACUCCUACGGGAGGCAGCAGUGGGGAAUAUUGCACAAUGGGCGCAAGCCUGAUGCAGCGACGCCGCGUGGGGGAUGACGGCCUUCGGGUUGUAAACUCCUUUCGCUAGGGACGAAGCGCAAGUGACGGUACCUGGAGAAGAAGCACCGGCUAACUACGUG
This 464-nucleotide ribosomal RNA is filed under the name uncultured bacterium. Its description in RNAcentral is "partial 16S ribosomal RNA". It matches the Rfam family "Bacterial small subunit ribosomal RNA", at positions 28 to 507 of the family's 1533-position model. The record is from RNAcentral.